Long non-coding RNA from Beta vulgaris subsp. vulgaris (sugar beet), 1689 nucleotides. RefSeq lists it as uncharacterized. The record is from RefSeq and is a predicted model, not a curated record. The transcript has 2 exons. Lineage: Eukaryota; Viridiplantae; Streptophyta; Magnoliopsida; Caryophyllales; Amaranthaceae.
AAAUUCAGAAUAUUUGCUUCAAUUAUCUCCCCCAUCCACUGAUUUUAGGUUCCCAAUUUCACUAUAAAGAGCCAUGGAGAUUCAUCACCAAGAACACCAUCAACAACAAUCUUCAUCCUCUCUUCUCAUACUAAUCAGAAUUUUUCAGUCAAUAAUUCGCCGGAAAAUGUGACUAAAGGAACCCAAAAAGAAAACCCCAUAUUCUCUCUUUCAUCUGUUUCGCCCCUUCAACCCACCACCGGUGGCACGACACCGGUCUCACGCCACGCUCAGUCGCGCCCCCACCUUGCAGUCGCUCGUCGGCCACCUGCGCGACUCGCCGGAGAUCCGCCAACCAGCGCGCACUCACGUUCUCUCUCCGCCUUGCACUCUUCUCUUCUCUCCCGCGCUCUUCUUCUUCGCGCGUCACUGCUGCACGCGCAGCACCACCGAGACCCCAGCCACCGCGUCACGCUGCCGUCGUUGCUAGUUGCCGCCGGUCGUUGCCGUCAACCCCCCCGUUCGCCGGAGCCUCGCAGGUACCGAUGGUGCUAACGGGAUGGCGUAGCAGUGAGGAUUAUUUAAUAUCUAGAUUAUAUAGACUCUCGUGGUUUUAAUUUAAGUUAAUAUCAAAACUCUGAUUAGUAACUAAGUUUCAAUUAAUCAAGACUAAUGUUAAAUCCUUGUUAUAUUUUACUCUAUAAUAUGUUUAACUUUAUGAAUUUAUGUUGCCUUGUAUUUUCCUUAUGGAAAGUACGGCGGUAACGCGCCGACUAUCUAGGUUCCGCUGCUAUUAAUCGAUUAAUUACGUAACAACUUGAUUAGAGGUCGGGGUGCUACAGAUACAAUUCUUUCUUUGGCUCAUUUGGCAUCGUAAAAUCCCAACCCAAGCAUCCCUUUACCAUAUAUAUAUCAUUAAUAACCCGACGUGCUCUUUGUGUAAUUAAGAGGAUGAAGAUAUUCUACAUGUGCUUCGUGACUGUGUGGAGGCUAGAAAAAUCUGGGAUGAAUUCGGCCCUAAGCAAAACCUAAAUAGGGGGGACAGGAUGAGUGGAUUAGAGAUAACCUUCUAUGUAAGGACACACUUUUAAAUCUCCCAUGAUGGGAGGUUUUUCCCUUUAUUUGCUAUAAGUUAUGGUUGUCUCGAAAUAGGAAAAUUUUCCAAAGUGUAGAUCACCCAAGCCCUGAAGUGUUUGUUCGAAAAGUGUCCUUUAGCGUGUAGGAGUUCAUCUCGUCCAGACCUCUCAACCCGAAAAACUUUAACGUGCUUGUCUCCCAUCUCCUUUCCUUUCUCCCGAUCUGGAUUAUGUUGUACAUGUUGACGCCUCAGUGACUGACCCUCUCAAGCCGUCUUGUGUGGCGGCGUGCCUUUUUAAUAGUGUAGGUGAAUGGAUUAUGGGUUGCCAAAGGUCAUUAUGGUUGCUGAUGUUCUUAUGGCUGAGCUUCAUGCGAUCUACGAGGGUCUCCACCUUGCUAGGACGGAACAUGUUUCUAAUCUAGACCUUGUGUCUGACUGCCAGAAAGCUAAUAAUCGCAUCAAUCAAGAAGAGAAACUGCAUGAUUCAUAUGGUUAGAGAGUGCAGGGAAACUUUGCAGGGAUUCACGCAGGUGAAGUGCAUGCUCAUGAAGCGUGAUUGAAACAAGGUUGCGGAUGCUAUGGCGCGGGAGGGCAGAAUUUUGGGUAUAAAUCAAAAUGUUGUUAGGGAAAUG